This 253-nucleotide ribosomal RNA is filed under the name uncultured bacterium. RNAcentral's name for it is "partial 16S ribosomal RNA". It matches the Rfam family "Bacterial small subunit ribosomal RNA", at positions 524 to 776 of the family's 1533-position model. The record is from RNAcentral.
UACAGAGGGUGCAAGCGUUAAUCGGAAUUACUGGGCGUAAAGCGUGUGUAGGCGGAUCGUUAAGUGUCUUGUGAAAUCCCACGGCUCACCCGUGGAACGGCUGGGCAUACUGGCGAUCUUGGGCCAACUAGGGGCAACUGGAACAAGCGGUGGAGCGGUGAAAUGCGUAGAUAUCGCUUGGAACGCCGAAGGUGAAAACAGGUUGCUGGGGUUGUGCCGACGCUGAGACACGAAAGCCAGGGGAGCAAACGGG